This 714-nucleotide ribosomal RNA is filed under the name uncultured bacterium. RNAcentral's name for it is "bacterial SSU rRNA". It matches the Rfam family "Bacterial small subunit ribosomal RNA", at positions 104 to 805 of the family's 1533-position model. The record is from RNAcentral.
GGGUGAGUAACACGUGGGCAACCUGCCCAAAAGAGGGGGAUAACACUUGGAAACAGGUGCUAAUACCGCAUAACCAUAGUUACCGCAUGGUAACUAUGUAAAAGGUGGCUAUGCUACCGCUUUUGGAUGGGCCCGCGGCGCAUUAGCUAGUUGGUGGGGUAAAGGCUUACCAAGGCAAUGAUGCGUAGCCGAACUGAGAGGUUGAUCGGCCACAUUGGGACUGAGACACGGCCCAAACUCCUACGGGAGGCAGCAGUAGGGAAUCUUCCACAAUGGGCGAAAGCCUGAUGGAGCAACGCCGCGUGGGUGAAGAAGGUCUUCGGAUCGUAAAACCCUGUUGUUAGAGAAGAAAGUGCGUGAGAGUAACUGUUCACGUUUCGACGGUAUCUAACCAGAAAGCCACGGCUAACUACGUGCCAGCAGCCGCGGUAAUACGUAGGUGGCAAGCGUUAUCCGGAUUUAUUGGGCGUAAAGGGAACGCAGGCGGUCUUUUAAGUCUGAUGUGAAAGCCUUCGGCUUAACCGGAGUAGUGCAUUGGAAACUGGGAGACUUGAGUGCAGAAGAGGAGAGUGGAACUCCAUGUGUAGCGGUGAAAUGCGUAGAUAUAUGGAAGAACACCAGUGGCGAAAGCGGCUCUCUGGUCUGUAACUGACGCUGAGGUUCGAAAGCGUGGGUAGCAAACAGGAUUAGAUACCCUGGUAGUCCACGCCGUAA